CAACCCUCAGGGCCCUCCCCCUGGUGUUGGGGACCGGCGAAGGCGGCGGCGGCGCGCUCCUCUGCGCGCCUCCCCUCCCCCCGCCCCCGAAAUGAAUUGGCGGCCUCGUCGCGGCCUCCUCUGCGUAGUAGCACAACCUCGCAACGGGAGCGCGGCGCGGCCACUGCCGUAAAACGCACAACUUCUCAAG
Molecule: unclassified non-coding RNA, 190 nt
Filed under: uncultured Hypocreales
Lineage: Eukaryota; Fungi; Ascomycota; Sordariomycetes; Hypocreales
Description: sequence contains ITS2
Source: RNAcentral